GGAGAGUGCGCCAGCGGCCUGGCACCCGGUUUCGAAAACCGGCAUGCGUCCACAAGACGGGGGAUCGACACCUCCACUCUCCGCCA
This 86-nucleotide transfer RNA is filed under the name Acidobacteriota bacterium. RNAcentral describes it as "Acidobacteria bacterium (bioreactor metagenome) tRNA-Ser". Lineage: Bacteria; Pseudomonadati; Acidobacteriota. The record is from RNAcentral.